GAUGAAGAACGUAGCGAAAUGCGAUAAGUAAUGUGAAUUGCAGAAUUCAGUGAAUCAUCGAAUCUUUGAACGCACAUUGCGCCCGCCAGUAUUCUGGCGGGCAUGCCUGUUCGAGCGUCAUUUCAACCAUCAAGCCCCCGGCUUGUGUUGGGGACCUGCGGCUGCCGCAGGCCCUGAAAACCAGUGGCGGGCUCGCUAGUCACUCCGAGCGUAGUAAUAAAUCUCGCUCAGGGCGUGCUGCGGGUUCCGGCCGUUAAAAAGCCUUAUUUACCCAAGGUUGACCUCGGAUCAGGUAGGAAGACCCGCUGAACUUAAGCAUAUCAAUAAGCGGAGGA
RNAcentral lists this unclassified non-coding RNA (335 nucleotides) under soil metagenome. RNAcentral describes it as "partial contains 5.8S ribosomal RNA, internal transcribed spacer 2, and large subunit ribosomal RNA". The stretch from base 1 to 120 matches the Rfam family "5.8S ribosomal RNA", at positions 35 to 154 of the family's 154-position model. The record is from RNAcentral.